AGAGGGUGCAAGCGUUAAUCGGAAUUACUGGGCGUAAAGGGUGCGUAGGUGGUUUGUUAAGUCAGGCGUGAAAUCCUCGGGCUCAACCUGGGAACUGCGCUUGAUACUGACAGACUCGAGUGUGGUAGAGGAUAGUGGAAUUCCCGGUGUAGCGGUGAAAUGCGUAGAUAUCGGGAGGAACAUCAGUGGCGAAGGCGGCUAUCUGGACUAACACUGACACUGAGGCACGAAAGCGUGGGUAGCAAACAGGAUUAGAUACCCUGGUAGUCCACGCCCUAAACGAUGGGUACUAGACGUCGGGAAGCUUGUCUUCUUGGUGUCGCAGCUAACGCAAUAAGUACCCCGCCUGGGGAGUACGGUCGCAAGAUUA
This 370-nucleotide ribosomal RNA is filed under the name uncultured bacterium. RNAcentral's name for it is "bacterial SSU rRNA". It matches the Rfam family "Bacterial small subunit ribosomal RNA", at positions 527 to 896 of the family's 1533-position model. The record is from RNAcentral.